CCUACGGGCGGCUGCAGUGAGGAAUAUUGGUCAAUGGACGCGAGUCUGAACCAUCCAAGCCGCGUGCCGGAAGACGGCCCUAUGAGUUGUACACUUCUUUUGUCCGAGGAUAAAAGCAGAUACGCGUAUCUGUCUGUAUGUAUCGUACGAAUAAGGAUCGGCUAACUCCGUGCCAGCAGCCGCGGUAAUACGGAGGAUUCGAGCGUUAUCCGGAUUUCUUGGGUUUACAGGGUUGGUAGGCGGUCUGUUAAGUUAGGUGUGAAAUUUUGGGGCGCAACUUCGGAAUUGCCUCUGAAACUGUCCGGCUAGAGAGCAGUUGCAGUAUGCGGAAUGCGUGGUGUAGCGGUGAAAUGCGUAGAGAUCACGCAGAACUCCGAUUGCGAAGGCAGCGUACCAAGCUACCUCUGACGUUGAGGCACGAAAGCGUGGGUAUCAAACAGGAUUAGAUACCCCAGUAGUC
This 460-nucleotide ribosomal RNA is filed under the name uncultured bacterium. RNAcentral's name for it is "partial 16S ribosomal RNA". It matches the Rfam family "Bacterial small subunit ribosomal RNA", at positions 338 to 795 of the family's 1533-position model. The record is from RNAcentral.